Molecule: transfer RNA, 964 nt
Filed under: Roseobacter sp. LE17
Lineage: Bacteria; Pseudomonadati; Pseudomonadota; Alphaproteobacteria; Rhodobacterales; Roseobacteraceae
Description: 16S-23S ribosomal RNA intergenic spacer
Rfam family: tRNA (bases 248-321)
Source: RNAcentral
CUAAGGAUGAUCUUAGCAGCAAGACUUCGGUCUUACUCGUAGAUCACUUAGCAUGAUAUGUCCUUUGCAUAUCAAAACAUCAGUUCAUCUUUUGAUGGACUUGGGCCGAGCCGUCCUCAUAUCUCUUCAGAAUUGCGAGCCUUAGGCUUGUAUAAACCGCCUGAUUGGACCACCACCGGCCCUUUCGGCAGACUUGCUUUGCAAGUCACCUGUCGGGCGUUGUCGAUCUUGUUAUUCAAGAUCCACUGGGUCGGUAGCUCAGGUGGUUAGAGCGCACGCCUGAUAAGCGUGAGGUCGGAGGUUCAAGUCCUCCUCGACCCACCAUAGAUUACACACCCUUAAAUGGGGCGUUAGCUCAGCUGGGAGAGCACCUGCUUUGCAAGCAGGGGGUCAUCGGUUCGAUCCCGAUACGCUCCACCAUAUCCCUGCAAUUUGCAUAGCAAAUUGUCAGGUUUUGAGCCGCGACAGUGUUUUUUGCCUCGCAAAAAAUCACGAAAGCUCCUUUGCAAUUUGCGCAGCAAGUUCAAAGUGCAAUUUAAGUUUGAAAGUUAAGCAACUUUUGUUGUUUUGCUGUCCAACUUGGACAUUGUUCAGUCUUCGGACUGACUUGACAUCGUAAAGAGAGAUACAAACAUCAGAAUUACUGAUGCACCGCGUAAGGUGUAUCGUGAUGUUGUUUGGCAUCGUGUGAGAGGGGUAGGAGCAAUCUUAUCUUUUGAUUGGGGUGUCAUAUAUAGCAACAGUUCACAAAGUAAUUUUGUUCCAAGUUAAGUACAAUUAUACCUGAGUAAAGCCGCAAGGUUUUGCUCAUCGUCGCUGCUCUAUCCGGGCAGUGGCGGCACGCAUGUUGCCCCCUCUUUGAACCAGCGGGGGCCCAUGGGAAUAAUUUUGUAUGACUUUUGGUUCAGAAUUUAGUCAUCUUCGGAUGAUGUUGGCAGGACACGCAAAAGGCCUGUCUUCUUCU